UGAGUAACGCGUGGGUAACCUGCCUUAUACAGGGGGAUAACAGUCAGAAAUGGCUGCUAAUACCGCAUAAGCGCACAGAGCUGCAUGGCUCAGUGUGAAAAACUCCGGUGGUAUAAGAUGGACCCGCGUUGGAUUAGCUAGUUGGUGGGGUAACGGCCCACCAAGGCGACGAUCCAUAGCCGGCCUGAGAGGGUGAACGGCCACACUGGGACUGAGACACGGCCCAGACUCCUACGGGAGGCAGCAUG
RNAcentral lists this ribosomal RNA (248 nucleotides) under uncultured bacterium. RNAcentral describes it as "partial 16S ribosomal RNA". It matches the Rfam family "Bacterial small subunit ribosomal RNA", at positions 107 to 353 of the family's 1533-position model. The record is from RNAcentral.